RNAcentral lists this ribosomal RNA (506 nucleotides) under uncultured bacterium. Its description in RNAcentral is "partial 16S ribosomal RNA". It matches the Rfam family "Bacterial small subunit ribosomal RNA", at positions 29 to 523 of the family's 1533-position model. The record is from RNAcentral.
AGUGAACGCUGGCGGUAGGCCUAACACAUGCAAGUCGAACGGCAGCACAGGAGAGCUUGCUCUCUGGGUGGCGAGUGGCGGACGGGUGAGGAAUACAUCGGAAUCGACUCUGUCGUGAGGGAUAACGUAGGGAAACUUACGCUAAUACCGAAUACGACCUACGGGUGAAAGCAGGGGACCUUCGGGCCUUGCGCGAUUGAAUGAGCCGAUGUCGGAUUAGCUAGUUGGCGGGGUAAAGGCCCACCAAGGCGACGAUCCGUAGCUGGUCUGAGAGGAUGAUCAGCCACACUGGAACUGAGACACGGUCCAGACUCCUACGGGAGGCAGCAGUGGGGAAUAUUGGACAAUGGGCGCAAGCCUGAUCCAGCCAUACCGCGUGGGUGAAGAAGGCCUUCGGGUUGUAAAGCCCUUUUGUUGGGAAAGAAAUCCAGCUGGCUAAUACCCGGUUGGGAUGACGGUACCCAAAGAAUAAGCACCGGCUAACUUCGUGCCAGCCGCCGCAGUAA